AAUAAGGUAAGGAAUGCAUGAAAAAACGGGGAAAGUAGGAAGAAGAGCACGGUUCGUGCGUUUUCUACACAUGAUCGUGCGUUUUAGGGCUAAAUUGGGGAGGUCGUGUGUUUCAAAGAGAGAAAGUCCAGGGAACAUACGCACGGCCUGUGCAUUUUAUGCACGACCGUGCGUUUUAGUGUGUUGGCUUGUAAGGGGACCGUGCGUUCCUUGUGUGCAGA
RNAcentral lists this long non-coding RNA (221 nucleotides) under Medicago truncatula (barrel medic). RNAcentral describes it as "long non-coding RNA (MTRU_LNC003178)". Lineage: Eukaryota; Viridiplantae; Streptophyta; Magnoliopsida; Fabales; Fabaceae. The record is from RNAcentral.